GGAGCGGAGCGCGGCGGGGAGGCAGCGCCGCCCGCGCCCGCUGAGUGCGCCCCGGCUGCGAGCGCCCCGGCUGCGAGCCUGACAGGCAGAUAUGGUCCUGAGCAUCGUGAGCAUGUGACUUCAAAGAUGGACAGCUGGAUCCCUUUUAAGUUGUGAUUGGCCUUAAGCUGACUUAGAACCGCUGAAGAACUUAACAGGAUUUUUCUCAUUCCUGAUUUUAUGCCUAUCUAGUUGCCUCCCAACACCAGCUUAAUCAUGUAUGGAAGUGCUCGGUCAGUUGGUAAGGUUGAGCCAAGCAACCAGAGCCCAGGGCGUUCACCGAGGCUGCCAAGGUCACCACGAUUGGGCCAUCGUCGAACCAACAGUACAGGAGGUGGUUCUGGGAGUAGUACUGGGGGUGGCAGUGGGAAAACUCUUUCUAUGGAGAACAUUCAGUCCUUAAAUGCUGCCUACGCUACGUCUGGCCCUAUGUAUCUAAGUGACCAUGAGAAUGUUGGUGCAGACACCCCAAAGAGCACCAUGACCCUGGGCCGAUCUGGAGGGCGGCUGCCUUACGGUGUUAGGAUGACUGCAAUGGGUAGCAGCCCUAACAUUGCCAGUAGUGGAGUUGCCAGUGAUACUAUUGCAUUUGGAGACCACCAUCUCCCUCCAGUGAGUAUGGCAUCCACUGUGCCUCACUCGCUGCGCCAGGCCAGGGAUAACACCAUAAUGGAUCUGCAGACCCAACUGAAGGAGGUAUUGAGGGAAAAUGAUCUGCUUCGCAAAGAUGUGGAGGUGAAAGAAAGCAAGCUGAGUUCUUCCAUGAACAGUAUCAAGACCUUCUGGAGUCCUGAGCUAAAGAAGGAACGAGCUCUGAGGAAAGAUGAAGCUUCAAAAAUCACCAUUUGGAAGGAGCAAUACAGAGUUUUGCAAGAAGAAAAUCAGCACAUGCAGAUGACUAUCCAGGCUCUCCAAGACGAGCUUCGGAUCCAGCGCGACCUGAACCAGCUGUUCCAGCAGGACAGCAGCACUAGAACCAGCGAGCCCUUUGUGGCGGAGCUGACGGAGGAGAACUUCCAGCGGCUGCAUGCGGAGCACGAGCGCCAGGCCAAGGAACUCUUCCUGCUACGUAAGACCUUAGAAGAGAUGGAACUGCGCAUUGAGACGCAGAAGCAGACCUUAAAUGCGCGUGAUGAGUCCAUCAAAAAGCUGCUGGAGAUGCUGCAGAGUAAAGGCCUGUCAGCAAAGGCCACCGAGGAAGAUCACGAGCGGACAAGGCGGUUGGCUGAGGCAGAGAUGCACGUGCACCACUUGGAGAGCCUGCUGGAACAGAAGGAGAAGGAAAACAACAUGCUGAGAGAGGAGAUCCAUCGUCGAUUUGAAAACGCUCCUGACACAGCCAAGACAAAGGCUCUGCAAACUGUUAUUGAGAUGAAGGAUUCAAAAAUUUCUUCCAUGGAGCGUGGCCUCCGGGACUUGGAAGAGGAGAUUCAGAUGUUGAAGUCAAAUGGGGCUCUGAGCACAGAGGAACGUGAAGAGGAGAUGAAGCAGAUGGAGGUGUACAGAAGUCAUUCCAAAUUCAUGAAAAAUAAGGUAGAGCAACUGAAGGAAGAGCUAAGUGCCAAAGAGGUUCAAGGGGAGGACCUGAAAAAAAGAGUGGCUGGUCUCCAGACCGAGAUUGGCCAAGUGAAACAGGAGCUGUCACGCAAAGACACCGAGCUGCUGGCCUUGCAGACCAAGCUGGAGACCCUCACCAAUCAGUUCUCUGACAGCAAGCAGCAUAUUGAAGUCCUGAAAGAGUCUCUUACAGCUAAGGAGCAAAGAGCUGCCAUCCUGCAGACAGAGGUGGAUGCGCUGCGAUUGCGUCUGGAAGAGAAGGAGACUAUGCUAAAUAAGAAGACAAAGCAGAUUCAGGACAUGGCAGAGGAGAAGGGGACUCAAGCAGGAGAGAUCCAUGACCUCAAGGACAUGUUGGAGGUGAAGGAACGCAAAGUUAAUGUGCUUCAGAAGAAGAUUGAAAAUCUUCAAGAGCAGUUGAGAGACAAGGAGAAGCAAAUGAGCAGCUUAAAGGACCGAGUGAAGUCUUUGCAAGCAGACACCACAAACACCGACACCGCCUUGACCACGUUGGAGGAAGCACUGGCAGAAAAGGAAAGGACCAUUGAGCGCCUAAAGGAGCAGCGUGACAGAGAUGAACGAGAAAAGCAAGAGGAGAUUGACAACUACAAAAAAGACAUCAAGGACCUGAAAGAGAAAGUUGGCAUUUUACAAGGGGAUCUCACAGAGAAAGAGACAUCCUUACUGGAUCUGAAGGAGCAUGCUUCAUCCUUAGCUUCAUCAGGGCUGAAGAAAGAUUCAAGACUCAAGACACUAGAAAUUGCAUUGGAACAGAAAAAGGAAGAAUGCUUGAAGAUGGAAACUCAGCUGAAGAAGCACCCCGAAGUUUUAUUGAGUCAUCCAUCCAAGCCAGCUCAUGAGGCAACCCUGGAGGCUCGGGCCAGCCCAGAGCUGAGUGACCGCAUGCAGCAGCUGGAGAGGGAGGUGACUCGCUUCAGGGAAGAGUCCAGCAAGGCUCAGGCUGAAGUGGAUCGGCUCCUGGAGAUCCUGAAAGAGAUGGAAAAUGAGAAGAAUGAUAAGGAUAAGAAGAUAGCAGAACUGGAGAGCCUCACCUCAAGGCAAGUUAAAGACCAAAAUAAAAAAGUGGCAAAUCUGAAGCACAAAGAGCAAGUGGAGAAAAAGAAGAGUGCACAGAUGCUGGAGGAGGCCAGGAGACGAGAGGAUAAUCUUAAUGACAGCUCCCAGCAGCUUCAGGACAAUCUCCGUAAAAAGGAUGAUCGGAUCGAAGAGUUGGAAGAGGCACUCAGAGAGAGUGUUCAGAUAACUGCAGAGCGGGAAAUGGUGCUAGCACAAGAGGAGUCAGCCAGGAUCAAUGCUGAGAAACAGGUAGAAGAGCUGAUGAUGGCCAUGGAGAAAGUUAAGCAGGAGCUGGAGUCGAUGAAAGCCAAAUUGUCCUCUACACAACAGUCUUUGGCCGAGAAGGAAACCCACUUAACCAACCUCCGAGCUGAAAGAAGGAAGCAUUUGGAGGAAGUGCUGGAAAUGAAACAAGAAGCCCUUCUUGCUGCCAUUAGUGAAAAAGAUGCCAAUAUUGCUCUGCUAGAACUUUCUUCCUCUAAGAAGAAGACCCAAGACGAAGUGGCCGCGCUGAAACGAGAGAAGGAUCGUCUUGUGCAACAGCUCAAGCAGCAGACUCAGAACCGUAUGAAGCUGAUGGCUGACAACUAUGAGGAUGAUCACCUCAAAUCCUCAUCCCACUCCAACCAAACCAACCACAAGCCCUCCCCUGACCAGAUAAUUCAGCCCCUCCUAGAACUUGAUCAGAACCGCAGCAAGUUGAAGUUGUACAUUGGACAUCUGACAGCCCUCUGCCAUGACCGUGACCCCCUGAUUCUGCGUGGACUCACCCCACCUGCUUCCUACCACCUGGAUGAUGACCGGGCAGCUUGGGAGAAAGAGCUGCAGAAGAUGACCCAGGAGCAGCUUCGUGAGGAGCUAGAGAAGGGCGAGAAGGAAAGCGCCGAGCUGCAGGAGUUUGCCAACGCUAUCUUACAGCAGAUAGCAGAUCACUGCCCUGACAUCCUGGAGCAAGUCGUUAAUGCGCUGGAGGAGUCAUCGUGACCUCGGCCACAGCCCCGCCGGAGCAGCACACCAGCGGCCGAGCCCAGUCAGUCCAAGGAGCCGGGAGGGCAGAGAGGAAUGUGGAAGACAGAAAAUGGAAAAGGAAACUUCUGCUGCACACUGACAAAGGAAACAAAAGCAAAAAAAAGACCCUCUAAAAACUACCUGUUCUCUCGGUUCUGCCAGCCUGUGAUGAAUCAGUCACCUUUGCGUUCAUCUUCUCACUGCCUUUCUACUCCAGAAUCCAAUUCCCCAUUGACUUUGUUGAUGGUGACUUCUGGUUAUAGCUGUGCAGAGCUCCUCCAAGCCUACUGAGCAAAGAAGAGGGGCUCCACUGAACACAAGAAGCUCUAGCUCUCCAUGAGGUUGCAGAAGGGUAGCCCUUGCCUUUCAUUCAUUUAUUGCUGUUUUCUCUUUCUUCUGUUUUUUUUUUUUUUUGGGGGGGGGCUGUGUUUUAUUUUGUUUUGGGGUUUUGUUGUUGGGGUUUUGUUUGGGUUUGUUGUUUUUUUUCAUCAAAGCUGAAAGCCUGAAUUUCAUAGUGCUAAAGUCAAACCUGAGCAUGCUCUGAUUAUGUCUCAUGACUAGCCAGCAUCAGCUAGCUAGCUCAGGUCUUGCUGCCUGCCUCAAUAUUUCUUAUGUUCUUAAAUGACAGAGAGAGGAAAGGAAAGUUUUCCCCUGUUUAUGCCUCUUAGUCACUUCAUCUAGCAGCUGGGAAACCAGGUAGGCUUACUGGUACUUUCUGUUUACUUAACUGUGAUAUUUCUUGUUCACUGAUCUGACUCUUACAUGCUAAGUGAGGCGUUUUUUCAGGUAACUCUUUUAUGUUGACUUCCCUCUUUUUAGCAGAGAUUUCUCAUCGUGGCUCUGUGUCUUCUAGAUUCUUCUUUAUAUUAUAGAGAGCUCUCUCUCUUCAGGCAGGUGUGGUCUACAGGUCAGCCUUGCAGCUUUCACUUAGGGAGUUAGUCCAUUGCCAGUUUUUCAGGCUCUAGCUUCAUGAACAUUGGCUGCCAGCAGAAUAGUAGAGGAGAAAAUUGCAUCCUUUAGGUUUAAAGUGUAAUUUUAAAGCUAAGUUAGGUAAAUUGGUAAUACAGUACUUACUACAACUGCCAUUUAAUUUAUUCUGGUUUAGCUUAGGUUGGCAGGGAGUGAGUUCCAGUUCAGAGCAAUAAACCGUUCUGGUGAAGAGGAGCAUCUCUGCUGGAGCUGGCACCCAGCCGAGUAGAUAGGUGUAAAAUCACAGCUUUAGUUAAAGCAGUGCAAUUCUUAUACGUACAAGAGAGGCCUUAGUCUUGUUCCCAUCCAUCUCUGAUGUUCAUUGAGGCCCCUGCUGAUAGGUAAUCCGACCUGAAGCAGCAGGGUGGUUUGUCCUUGUAGCAGCAAGGCAGAAUCCUAUUUUACAAGUAGGCCUUGGGUGUUGGUUCUUGGACUGUGCAUUACAGGGGAGAGAUGUUUUUUUCCUGCCUGCCAGUGGUUAUGUGUGUCUGGGGGCAUCUGCAGGACAGAACCCUUUAACACAUCCCCCUGUGCUCCUUAAAGGAGUCGCUCCCAUUUAGCUAUCUCAUAUUAAGAGAACAAGGGGAGGGCAAAAGGAGACCAAAUAUCAACACAGCAGUGGAAGCAGUGGUAGUUUUCUAGUCACUAGUUAAUUAUGACUCUUCCCAUGCCCAACCUGCAGUUAAUUCCAUGUGACUUACUGCAUCUCGAGCUUAACCACUCAACCAUUGUGCUAAGAAAGAUGUCCCAAGCCCUUUCAGGAGAGCUGCAUUUCUCACUCUUGCAGACCCACAGCACAGCACUCCCCGUAGGUCUUUCACACCUUAUUUUUGUGUUUCGAAGUGGUUUGACUGCUUCCAAUAGAAAGAAGAUCAGCAGAUGUUUGAGCGAGGGAAGAUGCAUCCUGCCUUCUGUCCAAACAGGCACUGAAAAUUGGACAAAAGUGAAGCCUUUAUAUACCUGUAGACUCUUACUGAAAAUUGACUCAUUAAAACCAAAUCACAUCCCAGUUCCUUCUGUUGCAGUGAUUCAGCAGAAGGAACUGGAUCCAUAGUCGUGGUGUCCACUAGGAAAACAAUAUGUGAGUCUCCAAAGAAGAGGUGAUUCACAGUUUUCCCGUGUUUUGAGCUGCCAGUGCUUUGCCAGUCGGGAAACACAGCUUUAGUCCUUGCUCUAGUAGCAGCCUGUGUCUGAAGCUCUUUUUGUCAUGGAUGAGGAGAGCAAUGGGAACCUGAAUGUGCAGAAGGAGGGGGGGACACCGGAUGGCGUGUAGACAGUGACUGUACAUACCACUGAGCCGUGCCUCAUCCCAGAACCACCCCUUUGGUCCCAUUACUUGAGUCAGCACCUUUGGAUGGGAGCUGUUGUUUUGAAAUCUUGCCUCUUGCUUUUUUUCAGUCGCCCCUAAUUACUCACUCAAGGAAUUUAAUGCCGCCUGUAAAAGCAUCAGAGCCAUCAGCCUAACAUCAUCUCGCCACCGCCACCACUCCUGACUAUCUCAUUAACUUAUAUGGUCAAAUCUCCAGCUGCCCUGGUUCCCUGCUGUAAAACAAUCCCUCCUCUGUGAGAAGCUGUGGAAUUUCCCUUAUCGAUGGUUCAAAUGACUCCUGCUUGUAAACCUCUUACUGAGAUGUUCCUUGAUAGUGUUUCUGCUGCAGGCAGGGGGAGGGGAUGGGAGUGAGGGCUGCUCAUUUGGAUGUCAUUUCAGUUCUCUUGCUUUGCUGCGCUGCUCACACGUGGCAGGAAGGUGUUGGUUCUUCUGCAUCUUUAUCUCAGCCCGUGGCUGUGUUUCUAGAGUUGGAAGUGCCCCAGCCAAAGGCAGGGUGCUGUGGUGACGGCGUGUGCAGGAUCCUUGUGUCAGCAGCCAGGUGAAUCUCACUGUUUACACAUCUCCCGGGCUCUUCCCUCGGAGGAUUUGUCAAGCCUGGCUGGUUUUCACGCUCGCCAUUUGGCCUUUUAUCUCCCAGCCACACACCUGCUGUUCCUCCCAUCUGGAUUGUUGGGCUUUUGCAGUUUUGCUCAUUAGCCACUGUUAUCUUCUAGGGCUUUUUAGGCUUCCCGUCUUAAACAGGGAUCUUAGACCUCAGGAAAGUGCUUGCAGGGAGAGAGCAGAUCUCAGUUAGGAACAGACUUGAUCCAACUUGAUCUCAGUUGAACUAUUUCAGGUAAUCUCUCUGAUUCUGUGUCGACAGAGAUCUUGUCACGGUGAGUAGCUUGAGGACCUGUGUGACUUGGGAAGUGCUGCUGGCCACGAUUUAAUGCUGAGUGAGACCAGCCAAAGCUGCUUCUUUGUGCUGCUCGGGAGUGCCACACCAUUGGCCUUAGGGCAACGAAGGGAUUUGGUGAGCCUAAUCCAUCACGAAACUGCACAUCAGGCACAUGGCAGCAGGGCCACACAUAAUGCGAGGCUCACCCAGCUGCCUGAGCCACCACUGCUCUUCUAACAUCCUAAACCUGAAGUGUCAGGGGCCAGGCACAGUGCAGUUUCUUAGCACAGCAGUCCUGCAGUGCAGCAGCUCUAGGAAAUCAGGGGCCCUUCCCAGGGAGCCUGCUGAAACUUAGUUAUUCUUCUCCUGUUGAGUGAAGUUCCCAUUUGCUACACUUCUCAUUGCUUUAAUUUGCCUUUCACUUUUUUUUCUUACUUCAAGCUGUUGCUUGUAAGAACCUGAAAGAUAUAAGGACUUAGAGAGCUGUCUGUAGGAAAUCAGAGGCCGUUUUAGCUGGCUUUGGGCUAAAAAGAUAGCUCGAGCCCAAAGCCCUUGUGCAGUGUAGAAGCUGACACCUCAGCCAUGCUCGUUCGUGGUUCCACAUAUCCAAGUACAGUUUCCACAAUAUCCAAGUACAUAUUUUCUUCUGAUUCCAUCUUCCCAUAAAACACUAACAGGACAUUACAGCCCUAGAAUGUCAGGGUGAGGACAUGAGCACUCUUUGUGUUUGGGAGAAGAAUUGCCUGGCGUGCUCCCAGACCAAGCUCUAAGCUUCUGGUAUUCUCCUUCAUUUUUUGACUGCCUUUAACCAGCUUUCCCUCUAGAAAAUGCCAAACCCUCUUUGGAGUACCUGAUUUUUGCCAAGUGGGGGGCACAGAAGGUGAAGGCCUAAUGUGAUGCACUACAUUGUGUGCCCUUUCUAGCUGCAGAGCCAGAAUCUCCCUUCUCUAGCAGAUCCACUGGCACCUUGGGGCUCUCUGCGUUUUGCACAAGGGAGCUUGUAGGCAUAGCCCUGGUUUUAUGAACCAAAGGGGCACUUCUCCUCCUGUGCCCUGCAAGUCUCACUCGUUCUGCUGCUAGUGCUCAGCUUGUUAGGAAGUUUCUAGAGCUGAUACAGGUUGGCAGGGUUGAGUCCUCGCUUCUCUACUGUUGCCAGCUGUCACGGAGGGCAAAAGCUGUGGAGUCAGGCGCCGCGAAAGCAGAAGGUCACUGCGUGAGUUACACAUCACUCCUCACCUGACGCCGAGGGGACGCAGAGGCAAACAGCACAAGGAGGCCUCUGGUGCUUAAAGGAGGCCUCUGCUCAGCUCAGCACCCGCACUGGAAGAGGGAAGCGGAGAGGACGCAGAAGGCUGUGGAUAACUAACACUGCCCCAGCGAAGCCAGCGGGGUGGGAAGUGAUUUUUGGUGCGUGCCGUGCUCAGUGCCCUCUCCUGCGUGCCCAGGAUCGAAGGACAGGGGGUUCUCAGUUUGUGGUUUCUUGGUGUUCAGAAUGGCUCAGAUCAGCCCUUUGUUCAAGGACUGGGGAGGAAAAGAGUUGCACGGAGAGGAGCAGCAGCUGUAGGAGAUCCACCACAGGAAAGCCAUACCCUGGUGCACCUUCCAGGCUGUGGAGCUGACAUGCAGCUCUGGAUAUUGAAUCCCUUGUGGUCACUUGAGGAACUCCCCGGAGAUGCACUGUGGAGGACCAGGGGGGCAGAAGUAAGCCAGACAGAGGCCACUGAACAUGAAGAUGGAGCUUGUCAUCUAGCACCACAGCACACACCAGCCAGCACUGUGGGCAGUCUCCAUCUGACCUCGGGAGCACCCCCUCAGCCAGCAGCAGUCUUGAGAUGGGCAAUCAUUCCCUGGACCCUGCUGGCACAUCACCAAGGGAAGCCAAACCAACGUCACACAAUCGCUGCACUGCCCUUUGUGCUGGGAGAGGGGCAGAGCACGCUUGGAGAUGUCCACCUCCAAAGGCAGCAGCUUCUGCCCAGCCCUGGAAGCACUGCCUGGCUCCUGUCUCUUCUCAGUAGGGUGUCCCUGGAACCAGGAUGGAUUUUACUUGAUGAUGUCAAGCGAGAUGAAUCCCGGUUUAAUUGACCGUGGGUGAAAUCGCACUUUGAUGGUUAAUAUUAUACUUGAGGCUGGGAAAAGUACUGCAAGAUCAUAGCAAUUAGAGCUGGAAAUGAUUCAAGUCAUCUAAUUUAUUUCCUCUCUCCCCCCUCAGUGUCCCUGCCAGGGAUGGGGGCAGUAAGGUUCCCAACAAUACAUCUCUCUGUGUGUAGUCCUGUCCUGUCUCCCUGACUCAAGGAGCAGAGCAUCCACGUGUCCCUUGGGGAGACAAUUCCACCACUUAAGAGAUGUCAACAUUAGACAUUUUGUCAGAAGUUUAGUCUAUAUUUCCUUCUGUGGAGUGCCACAAAUUCUCAGGUCAUGAGUUUUAUGCCUCAAGGCAACUGGCUGCUUCCCAGGAGCGCAGUGGCUGGGAAUAAGGUGGUGCUGUUCUUUGUUUGCAGGGACAGGUAGAGAACAUGGGGGUGGGUCAGUAAAGGCUUUCACACCUGU
Molecule: RNA transcript, 9407 nt
Organism: Pogoniulus pusillus (Red-fronted tinkerbird)
Lineage: Eukaryota; Metazoa; Chordata; Aves; Piciformes; Lybiidae
Gene: ERC1
Gene name: ELKS/RAB6-interacting/CAST family member 1
Exons: 23
Source: RefSeq, a predicted model, not a curated record